UACGUAGGGGGCAAGCGUUAUCCGGAUUUACUGGGUGUAAAGGGGGCGCAGACGGCGAUGCAAGCCAGGAGUGAAAGCCCGGGGCCCAACCCCGGGACUGCUCUUGGAACUGCGUGACUGGAGUGCAGGAGGGGCAGGCGGAAUUCCUGGUGUAGCGGUGAAAUGCGUAGAUAUCAGGAGGAACACCGGUGGCGAAGGCGGCCUGCUGGACUGCAACUGACGUUGAGGCCCGAAAGCGUGGGGAGCAAACAGG
This 253-nucleotide ribosomal RNA is filed under the name uncultured bacterium. Its description in RNAcentral is "partial 16S ribosomal RNA". It matches the Rfam family "Bacterial small subunit ribosomal RNA", at positions 524 to 776 of the family's 1533-position model. The record is from RNAcentral.